RNAcentral lists this ribosomal RNA (494 nucleotides) under uncultured bacterium. RNAcentral describes it as "partial 16S ribosomal RNA". It matches the Rfam family "Bacterial small subunit ribosomal RNA", at positions 28 to 507 of the family's 1533-position model. The record is from RNAcentral.
GACGAACGCUGGCGGCGUGCUUAACACAUGCAAGUCGAACGGUGAAGCGCCUUCCUUUUUGGUGGGUGUGGAUGAGUGGCGAACGGGUGAGUAACACGUUAGUAACCUGCCCCCUUCUUCUGGAUAACCGCAUGAAAGUGUGGCUAAUACGGGAUAUUCUGGGUCUGUCGCAUGAUGGGUCUGGGAAAGAUAUUGUUUCGGUGGGGGAUGGGCUCGCGGCCUAUCAGCUUGUUGGUGGGGUGAUGGCCUACCAAGGCGGUGACGGGUAGCCGGCCUGAGAGGGUGGACGGUCACACUGGGACUGAGACACGGCCCAGACUCCUACGGGAGGCAGCAGUGGGGAAUAUUGCACAAUGGGCGCAAGCCUGAUGCAGCGACGCCGCGUGAGGGAUGGAGGCCUUCGGGUUGUGAACCUCUUUCGCCAGUGAAGCAGGCCUGCCUCGUUUGUGGGUGGGUUGACGGUAGCUGGAGAAGAAGCGCCGGCUAACUACGUG